RNAcentral lists this ribosomal RNA (255 nucleotides) under uncultured bacterium. Its description in RNAcentral is "partial 16S ribosomal RNA". It matches the Rfam family "Bacterial small subunit ribosomal RNA", at positions 524 to 776 of the family's 1533-position model. The record is from RNAcentral.
CACGUAGGGGGCAAGCGUUGUCCGGAUUUAUUGGGCGUAAAGAGCUCGUAGGCGGCUUAGUAAGUCGGGUGUGAAACCUCCAGGCUCAACCUGGAGACGCCACCCGAUACUGCUGUGGCUAGAGUCCGGUAGGGGAGCGUGGAAUUCCUGGUGUAGCGGUGAAAUGCGCAGAUAUCAGGAGGAACACCGGUGGCGAAGGCGGGUCUCUGGGGUAGUAACUGACGCUGAGGAACGAAAGCGUGGGUAGCGAACAGG